RNAcentral lists this ribosomal RNA (468 nucleotides) under uncultured bacterium. Its description in RNAcentral is "partial 16S ribosomal RNA". It matches the Rfam family "Bacterial small subunit ribosomal RNA", at positions 28 to 507 of the family's 1533-position model. The record is from RNAcentral.
GAUGAACGCUGGCGGCGUGCUUAACACAUGCAGGUCGAACGGAAAGGCCCAAGCUUGCUUGGGUACUCGAGUGGCGAACGGGUGAGUAACACGUGGGUGAUCUGCCCUGCACUUCGGGAUAAGCCUGGGAAACUGGGUCUAAUACCGGAUAGGACGAUGGUUUGGAUGCCAUUGUGGAAAGUUUUUUCGGUGUGGGAUGAGCUCGCGGCCUAUCAGCUUGUUGGUGGGGUAAUGGCCUACCAAGGCGUCGACGGGUAGCCGGCCUGAGAGGGUGUACGGCCACAUUGGGACUGAGAUACGGCCCAGACUCCUACGGGAGGCAGCAGUGGGGAAUAUUGCACAAUGGGCGCAGGCCUGAUGCAGCGACGCCGCGUGGGGGAUGACGGCCUUCGGGUUGUAAACUCCUUUCGCUAGGGACGAAGCGUUUUUGUGACGGUACCUGGAGAAGAAGCACCGGCUAACUACGUG